UUACGACCACAUCACGUAGAAACACCGGUUUCCGUACGAUUACUGAAGUUAAGCUACGUUAAGCCUGGUGAGUAGCUGAAUGGGUGACUACUUGGGAAUACCAAGGGCUGUAA
This is a non-coding RNA of Acanthosepion pharaonis, 113 nucleotides long. Lineage: Eukaryota; Metazoa; Mollusca; Cephalopoda; Sepiida; Sepiidae. The record is from the annotation of a GenBank genome assembly.